Molecule: ribosomal RNA, 460 nt
Filed under: uncultured bacterium
Lineage: Bacteria
Description: partial 16S ribosomal RNA
Rfam family: Bacterial small subunit ribosomal RNA
Source: RNAcentral
CCUACGGGUGGCAGCAGUGAGGAAUAUUGGUCAAUGGACGCAAGUCUGAACCAGCCAUGCCGCGUGCAGGAUGACUGCCCUAUGAGUUGUAAACUUCUUUUGUAAAAGAGUAAACCUGGAUACGUGUAUUCUGCUGAAAGUACUUUACGAAUAAGGAUCGGCUAACUCCGUGCCAGCAGCCGCGGUAAUACGGAGGAUCCAAGCGUUAUCCGGAUUUAUUGGGUUUAAAGGGUGCGUAGGUGGAUUGAUAAGUUAGAGGUGAAAUGUCCGAGCUUAACUCUGGAACUGCAUUUGAUACUGGUGGUCUAGAGAGCAGAUGCGGUAGGCGGAAUGCAUGGUGUAGCGGUGAAAUGCUUAGAUAUCACACAGAACACCGAUUGCGAAGGCAGCUUACUAAUCUACCACUGACGUUGAGGCACGAAAGUGUGGGGAUCAAACAGGAUUAGAUACCCCAGUAGUC